CAGUCGCCGCGGGAAUACGAAGGGUGCAAGCGUUAAUCGGAAUUACUGGGCGUAAAACGCACGCAGGCGGUUUGUUAAGUCAGAUGUGAAAUCCCCGAGCUUAACUUGGGAACUGCAUCUGAAACUGGCAAGCUAGAGUCUUGUAGAGGGGGGUAGAAUUCCAGGUGUAGCGGUGAAAUGCGUAGAGAUCUGGAGGAAUACCGGUGGCGAAGGCGGCCCCCUGGACAAAGACUGACGCUCAGGUGCGAAAGCGUGGGGAGCAAACAGGAUUAGAUACCCCAGUAGUCCCUGUCUCUUAUAC
Molecule: ribosomal RNA, 301 nt
Filed under: uncultured bacterium
Lineage: Bacteria
Description: partial 16S ribosomal RNA
Rfam family: Bacterial small subunit ribosomal RNA
Source: RNAcentral